CCUACGGGUGGCAGCAGUGAGGAAUAUUGGUCAAUGGGCGUAAGUCUGAACCAGCCAAGUCGCGUGAGGGAUGAAGGUCCUAUGGAUCGUAAACCUCUUUUAUAAGGGAAUAAAGUGUGGGACGUGUCCUAUUUUGUAUGUACCUUAUGAAUAAGGAUCGGCUAACUCCGUGCCAGCAGCCGCGGUAAUACGGAGGAUCCGAGCGUUAUCCGGAUUUAUUGGGUUUAAAGGGUGCGUAGGCGGCUUGUUAAGUCAGCGGUGAAAGUCUGUGGCUCAACCGUAGAAUUGCCGUUGAAACUGGGAGGCUUGAGUAUGGUAGAGGCGGGCGGAAUGCGUGGUGUAGCGGUGAAAUGCUUAGAUAUCACGCAGAACCCCGAUUGCGAAGGCAGCCCAC
This 394-nucleotide ribosomal RNA is filed under the name uncultured bacterium. RNAcentral's name for it is "partial 16S ribosomal RNA". It matches the Rfam family "Bacterial small subunit ribosomal RNA", at positions 338 to 729 of the family's 1533-position model. The record is from RNAcentral.